Long non-coding RNA from Drosophila albomicans, 871 nucleotides. RefSeq lists it as uncharacterized. The transcript is spliced from 4 exons. The record is from RefSeq and is a predicted model, not a curated record. NCBI's taxonomy places the organism in Eukaryota, Metazoa, Arthropoda, Insecta, Diptera, Drosophilidae.
UAGUAAUUUCAAAAAUUAUUUAUGCAUGAAAUGCAGCCAAAAUCUGAAUAAUUACCAACAAUGGACAAACUGGCCUUAACUGACAGCAAAACAAAGCAAAAGAAAGAGAUCCAGAAUAACGUUUCGUCUGAACCGUGAAUCUGACAAUUGUUCUCUUCCAUUCACAUAACAUAUGUCAAGAGAAGACAGACUGACAUGUGCGGCAGCGGUGUUUAGAUAAAAGCCGUUCAACUACUCAAAACUCUCUGAAAGUGAUGCAAAGCUCAGUUAUUGCAGUUGAAUUUAUAAUCAAAUUUCAUUUUGCCUCUAGAAAUAAUACACAAGUUGCAGGCAUAAAUAUCAUAUGAGUGGUUGGCAAAUUGAACAACAACAGAUUGAAUGUAUGCCUCAAAUAAAAUGGAACUCCUUAAAUUAAUGAGAUAAGUCAGACACUAAAUCGAAGAAUUUAAAAUGUUAAAUUGCAAAAGCAUGGCAACCAUUAAGCACUCCAAUAUAAUCUCAUGCUCUUUGGGGAGAAGUUGUCAUCAGCGUCAAACGUUACCCCAGCCAACAAUUACCAAUUAAAACCCCAAAGCGCGCAACUCAAUUUCGUGCAACACACACACACACACAAACAUAUGUACAUGCACAUAUUCGUAUAGUACGGUACUCUUAUACAUAUAUUGCGCAUAGACAAAGGCAAUUUCAUAUAGUAUUUCCAGAUAACUGACUUCGAUAGCAAACCGCAACAGCAAGAAUGACAAAAGAACAAGACAAGAAUAACAAGAAAAACAACAGACACAACAACGAGAAUGGCAACAAUGGCCACUGUGAAAACUGUGAAGAGACAAAAAGGACCCGAGCCAAGUUUUGUGGAUUCGCUCAGCGCAGC